This 220-nucleotide long non-coding RNA is filed under the name Lathyrus oleraceus (garden pea). Its description in RNAcentral is "Pisum sativum (pea) long non-coding RNA (PSAT_LNC014939)". Lineage: Eukaryota; Viridiplantae; Streptophyta; Magnoliopsida; Fabales; Fabaceae. The record is from RNAcentral.
UAAAAUUCAAAGAGACAAAAGAGACUUGAAAGAAACUGCGGGAGUUGAAUUUACAAAAGAUUUUAUUCACUCCAACAACUCUAUAGCAAUUGCUUUCAUUCAUAUUUUUCUUCUCCUUUCUCUUUUUUUUAUUUUUUUUUAUUUUUGAUAAGGAGUAUGUAUUGACAUGUAUACAUCCUUCUAUUUUUUUUCAUUCAUUUUUUUCUUUUUCUAUUUUUCU